This 779-nucleotide ribosomal RNA is filed under the name uncultured fungus. Its description in RNAcentral is "eukaryotic LSU rRNA". It matches the Rfam family "Eukaryotic large subunit ribosomal RNA", at positions 24 to 664 of the family's 3401-position model. The record is from RNAcentral. Lineage: Eukaryota; Fungi.
CCCGCUGAACUUAAGCAUAUCAGUAAGCAGAGGAAGAGAAACUAACAAGGAUUCCCGUAGUAACGGCGAGUGAACUGGGAUGAGUCCAGCGCUGAAUCGUGGUGUUUCUAAUGCCAUGAGGUGUAGCGUAUAGACGGCAUAUUCCUGUGUUGUCCUCUGGUUUAAAUCUCCCUUGACUGGGGUUCCAGAGAAGGUGAAAGGCCUGUUCAACUGGAGGACAUUGCAGACUGUGCUUUCUUGGAGUCGGGUUGUUUGGGAACGCAGCCCAAAGAAGGUGGUAUACUUCAUCUAAGACUAAAUAUGACUACGAAACCGAUAGCAAACAAGUACUGUGAAGGAAAGUUGCAAAGCACUUUGAAGAGAGAGUUAAAGAGGACGUGAAACCGAUAAGGUGGAAACGGAUAGAGCUGACGUAUCUAGCCUGUAUUCAGCUGUGGGUCUGCGUAGGGCAGAUUGUCCAAUCCUGCUUUUGGUUGGGCUGUUUGUCUCUUGCGUAGUCUAGCAGUGCAUUUGCAGGUUAAGUGCGCCGAGAAAUACACUCCAGCGGUUGGAUAUCUGCUUUGAGGUCUCUCUUCGGAGAGUAACCCUGGCGGAAGGAAGACUGUUUGCUGUGUACUGACUGCAUUAUGUAUGGCCUACGGAUCGGCUAGCAGCUUAUGCUCCUAUGGAUUAUGAUCGCAUGCGAUUGUGCCCACUGGGGUGUUUGUUGUUGGUGCGGAUUCUCAUAUAUGCUUUCGGUGUAAAAGUCGGUCAUCUAUCCGACCCGUCUUGAAACACGG